Molecule: ribosomal RNA, 497 nt
Filed under: uncultured bacterium
Lineage: Bacteria
Description: partial 16S ribosomal RNA
Rfam family: Bacterial small subunit ribosomal RNA
Source: RNAcentral
GACGAACGCUGGCGGCGUGCCUAAUAUAUGCAAGUAGAACGCUGAAGAGAGGAGCUUGCUCUUCUUGGAUGAGUUGCGAACGGGUGAGUAACGCGUAGGUAACCUGCCUUGUAGCGGGGGAUAACUAUUGGAAACGAUAGCUAAUACCGCAUAACAAUGGAUGACACAUGUCAUUUAUUUGAAAGGGGCAAUUGCUCCACUACAAGAUGGACCUGCGUUGUAUUAGCUAGUAGGUGAGGUAAUGGCUCACCUAGGCGACGAUACAUAGCCGACCUGAGAGGGUGAUCGGCCACACUGGGACUGAGACACGGCCCAGACUCCUACGGGAGGCAGCAGUAGGGAAUCUUCGGCAAUAGGGGCAACCCUGACCGAGCAACGCCGCGUGAGUGAAGAAGGUUGUCGGAUCGUAAAGCUCUGUUGUAAGUCAAGAACGGGUGUGAGAGUGGAAAGUUCACACUGUGACGGUAGCUUACCAGAAAGGGACGGCUAACUACGUG